AAUAGACAAAGCUAAAAGAAAUGUACUUGUAUUGGAUUUGUCUUUGAUGGUGACUCACAAAGAAAAAGAAAGACGGGAAGAAAUAUCACAAUGUAACAUUAAUUCUGAUUCCGAUUCAGAAAAUGUGAAAAUGUGCUUAUCUAAACAAUCCCCGCCCCUCCCGGCUGCCCAUGACGGUGCGUAAACCCAGCGCGCCUCCCUCUGCAGUCUGUCCGGGGCAGAGCUGGAGCUGGAGCAGGCAGAGGGCGGGGUGAGAGAGGCGCUGAGGAGGAUUGGUCGGUACGAUUUGAAGCUUCGGUGCUGCUGCUGCUGCCUUGUUUUCGUUCGCAGCUCUCGGCAGUCCGUGCUUCCCCUCCUCCUCCACCUCCAGCACGUACGGGACCCCAGCGCGCUCGUUGUCGGCUUCCAGGAUCUUUGGUCGCUGGAGCCUGAAAGCUGCCUGAGGGAGACACAAAGGAGACAACAUUAGGACUGAACAAGUUUAUGGACAUUUCCCAACCAGGCUGAAUCCGGACGUGCCUGUGGGCCUAGCGUGCGUUACCGUGCUUGAGGGUCCCGUCCCGAGGCGGACAGCGGCAGCAAGUGGACGGAGUCGAGAGUUUAGCGGCGGCGGCGGAGGGGGC
This 623-nucleotide long non-coding RNA is filed under the name Neogobius melanostomus (round goby). RNAcentral's name for it is "lncRNA (ENSNMLG00000024702.1)". Lineage: Eukaryota; Metazoa; Chordata; Actinopteri; Gobiiformes; Gobiidae. The record is from RNAcentral.